This 253-nucleotide ribosomal RNA is filed under the name uncultured bacterium. RNAcentral's name for it is "partial 16S ribosomal RNA". It matches the Rfam family "Bacterial small subunit ribosomal RNA", at positions 524 to 776 of the family's 1533-position model. The record is from RNAcentral.
UACGUAGGGUGCGAGCGUUAAUCGGAAUUACUGGGCGUAAAGCGUGCGCAGGCGGCUUCGCAAGUCAGACGUGAAAUCCCCGGGCUUAACCUGGGAAUGGCGUUUGAAACUACGGAGCUGGAGUGUGGCAGAGGGAGGUAGAAUUCCACGUGUAGCGGUGAAAUGCGUAGAUAUCAGGAGGAACACCGGUGGCGAAGGCGGGUCUCUGGGCCGAUACUGACGCUGAGGAGCGAAAGCGUGGGGAGCGAACAGG